AACAACGGUCUCCGAGUCCGACUCCUUUCCUCCUGACAACUUUCUAGAACAUCACCGCGUCAAAUAUCCUGUUUAACACUACCAAGGUAGCCUGAAACGGAACACUUCCUUGAGUAACGUCAGCAAGAAAGAGGUGGAGACAGCCCUCGGAAAAUGGUUUACAAAUGCUCGCGAUAGAGAUGGCAACCGUGCCUUGAGAGCCCAGCCGAGGAGAGCAGCACAGUCAGAGGUGUUUGAAGCUGAGGAUUCUUUACAGUAACAGGACUUUAUUUGAGUUUUUUGACAUUCAUUUCAAUAAAAGAAUCCUUGAUUGACA
This is a long non-coding RNA of Esox lucius (northern pike), 316 nucleotides long. RefSeq lists it as uncharacterized. The transcript has 3 exons. The record is from RefSeq and is a predicted model, not a curated record. NCBI's taxonomy places the organism in Eukaryota, Metazoa, Chordata, Actinopteri, Esociformes, Esocidae.